GGUAGACGCUACGGACUUA
This 19-nucleotide transfer RNA is filed under the name Nostoc sp. 'Leptogium rivulare cyanobiont'. RNAcentral's name for it is "partial tRNA-Leu". Lineage: Bacteria; Bacillati; Cyanobacteriota; Cyanophyceae; Nostocales; Nostocaceae. The record is from RNAcentral.